This is a long non-coding RNA of Hylaeus anthracinus, 6556 nucleotides long. RefSeq lists it as uncharacterized. Lineage: Eukaryota; Metazoa; Arthropoda; Insecta; Hymenoptera; Colletidae. The transcript is spliced from 2 exons. The record is from RefSeq and is a predicted model, not a curated record.
CUUUUCAAUUAUUUUAAAUAAUAUAUAGUAGCACCUUCAUAACGAUAGAAAAAUAUUUAUUAAUCGAAGGAACACAUUUAAUAAGAAUGACUACUACUGUAUCUUCUACUUGAAAUCAUUAGUGGCUACUGACAAAUCUUUUCACCUGUCAAUAUAUUACAAAAAAUGAAUUACCAGUGUUCCGCUACAUUAGAAAGCAAGAACAAAAAUUAUUCCCAAUCGCUUCCUCCAUUCAAUUAUAUUUAUUACCUUUUUAGUUUCAACCGUCACUAAUCACUGUCAGUUUUUUAUUUUCUAACAAUCCACGAUAUAAAUAUGCAGAAUACGAUCAAAAGAGAACAACUAACCAGCGCCAGACCUUUAACCAUUUUUCCCGAGAAAAGUGUGACAAAUAACUUAGAAUCUACUCUGUACCAAAAUCGAGAUCAGCAAGUGAUACAGAAAGUUUUUCUAAAAAAACCAACAUGUAGUUACAUAGCUAACGAGAAAUCUUACAAUUAGUUGACGAGUGUCUGUCGAACAUAGACGUAGAAAAGUGAGCGUAUUGAACUCGCAUACUCGAGAUAUAGAAAAAACUAAUAUUCUCAGAAGUGUUGCGCGAACGAGCCCCCUGGUUCGCCUAGAAUUCCUGCAAGUUUCUAACGAGCUAGUGACGUUUCGAAUGUUACAUUUACAAACAUAAGGUGUGCGAGGAAAACAAUGGGUGUUUAUAUAUCCCGGACUUAGUCUCGCGUAACGUAACAGAUUAGAAACGGUCGACUGGCGCCGUUUUAAAACGACGAAUACACCUUUUAACGCGUCACUCUGUAUUAUUUUUAAGUCGCUCGCGAUUGCAAAACGAAACGAGCGCGCAGGUAGUUUUAAAACGAAUAUUUUUGCGAACGAAUCAACGUCACGGUACCUACACAGAGAAUACUAUUCCCAAUCAAUCAUUUUUUAGAUGGCUAUACAUAAGUAUACAAGGAAUAAUUCUUUUACUGGGACGUCAUCGUGUCGCAUUGUAAUAUUUCAAAGCAGUCUCGACACGUUGAGAUCCUUUUUAACCCUGGCCAGCGGCGAGACUGGUGUUUUUUGAUCCGCGUUAACGAUUUUGUAACACUAUUCCUUAGAUGGUAAACAAUAAUAGCGUUAUCGAUGCCGCGACUCGAUAUUCUACGAACGAAACAAAGACGAAGAACGAAAAAUACGAAACGAAGAUUGUACAUAAGAAACGCCCGAUUAAGAAUCUAGAAUUGUAAUCGAUACGCGAUGAAUUACGAACGAGACGGGGCUUUCGGAUAGCUUGAAGUCAAUUUCAUUUCAAGGAAAAGGAAAAAGGAUUUAAAAAGAAAAAAAAAAGAAAGGAAUACACCCAGAGAAACGUCGGGGUAUCGACGGAUCUUCGUGAAAACACUUUUCCACUUUUUGCUUCAGCGAUUCGAUCUCGAACGUGCGAUACCGAGUACCUCGCCUUUAUUUUUGUAUCGACACGAACAUUCAAAAGCAACGCAACACCACCGUCGCACAAUUUAUCCCCGAGACACACGAGAUAUGUUCCUUUGCAUGCAUGUACGCAUAAAUAUGUACAAAAACAAUACAGAGCAAAUCUUUAAAAGUUAGUAGGAUAUACACAGCGAGUAUUGAACGGAUAUUUUAGUUGACCGACCAAGUAGUCGAGCACCGGUUGUCCAUGACAAAAUAUUUCGGUCCCGGUGAAGCUUUCGAUUAACGUAUUUCAUACCAGUCGAUGCUAGAGAUGAGCAGAAUUUUAAUCGAAUGAUAACGAUUUCAUUACAAGGUUGAUUCCAUUGGACCGGUAUUCGGAUAAGCUUCCACUUAAUGUGACGUUCAAUUCAAUUUUAUUAUUCAGAUCGUAAUUUUGAUUAAAUAAAUAACGCAUAGAAAAUUCUUCAUUUUAAGAUCGUUAUUUAAUUAUGUGUAUCUAGAUAAGAAUUUUGCCCAUCUCUGAUGCAUUUUGCUGUGAAAAUCGAACACGAGAAUCUUUGGUAAGCAAUACGUUAGCGACAUAGCUUUCGGUAGGUCUGAAUACACAAACAGACAAUAAAGAAGAUGCAAGUAUCAAAAGAAACAAAGAGGGCUGCGCGAAUUCUUUUUUCAACUCGUCACUUUGGCUUUCGGAGGCAUAUGUCCUCGAAUUUUAUUCGCGAACUGUCGAUUAUUCGUUGCUACCUAUAACUGCUGAGAUGAGCAGGAAACUUUCGAGCCACGCGCAAAUAGAAACGCUACCUAAAGCUAAUGUAAACUUAUAAAGAGGAUAGUCAAGCUUCUCGAAGAGGAAUCGAAUGUUACAGAAAAUUUGUAUACACAUCACAGGCUGUUUUCAGUAACCAGUCUGAACAUUUUACUAUCAAAAGGCCUGGGAGGUUUCGUAAUAUAAUAUUACCGCGUAAAAUAUUCGAAAGCACAGUGGACCAAAAUCAUGUUCAGUGAACUAUCGCUUGACAACUGAUGCCGCUUUUGGAGAAAGAGAUGCAUUCUUUAGUUCUCAUACAGAGCGUUUUGUAAAAUAUUUAACCAAAGUUUUUGAGCUUGAUUUCGAACCUGCGAGGAAUAAUAGCAUGUCUGACACCUAAAGUUAUGUAUCAGAGAAAGUGGUUCAGUUCAUCGAAUUCUGAAUUUUAUAAAAAUUAGUCAGACUACGAAAUUCUGAUACAUUUGAGAAACUAAUUCAUUGAAUUGAAGUAUUUCCUCUGACACAUAGCUAAGAAAGUCUAUGAGAAUGUCUAUAGACUCGUGCUGACAUUUAUGAAUCGGUAGUUGGCAAAAUUGAGUAAUUGAGUACUUGAGUCUGUCAAGCUCUCAAAGUUUAAUCUGAAAGGAAGCAUUCCAUCUCAUAAAAUUCUGAAUUGUAUAUCAUCUGCCCAGCGUCGCCAACAUUUCUAAAUAAAUUCUUUAAGACACUUCCAAAUCAUAUACUCAUCAAAGAUUAUCAGAAAUUUAUUGAAUCAGAAAUUAAUUGAGUUAUUUCCUCUAACAUGUAGCUGUAAAGAACUUCAUCGCUAAAGAAUUUCGUACACUCGAAUAACUUCUACAAUUAUUUGUAGAAUUUUGUUGUAAAAAUUAGGCGAUCGAGUCUGCCAUGCUCUCAAAGUUUGGUCUAGUAUUUAGAAACAUCCCAGAGAUUAAAUUCCUCCGCGCGAGUAGUUGGCAUAAAAUUAAGUUAGUCGGAUCAAACUCACUAAAAUUCUAAAUACAAGGACCACUAAUAUUUACGGCGUGCGAGAUCACGUGAAAAUGUGCGAGUGUGUUGAGACGUUACCGUUUAAUUCUCCCGUAGCAACGAGUAAUCGCCGCGACACAAAGGCGAAAGGUGACGUGCUUACAUCAGACUUCUGUUUUCAGUUCACUAACCGAUUCGGUUGUCCACGCGCCUCUUAUCAACGACGUUACAUCAAAGCUAAUCAAAAGCUCGCGACAAGACGGACGUGUCGACGGGUCUCUCCUCGUAGGCAGUAAAAUUCAAAAGUCUCGCUUCCUUCCACAGAACAGAGAUGGGCAAGCUCGAACAAUAAACGUCGGAUAAAGACACAAUGUGAUUUGUUCGCUGUUCGAUAGAGCAAUUACACGAAUAAGACUUCGUUCAGCGUGAAAUAUAAUUUCAAUCCGUAAUUAAAACUCUAAUUUUUACCUCGUUAAACAUUUUGCCCAUCUCUGCCACAAAACGGAAACGUAGAGACGCUUCGAGUCUCGGGAAGACCAAGAAGUCUCGGAUUCGUAGAUUUCCGUUGCGAUCAGUGGCGAAAGACAUAUCACCGGCCGCGGACGACGAUUUUUGAGAUCGAUGAAGCUCUAUCGGUGGAGUGAAGAAAGAAACGAGGGAAAGAAAGCGUUUAGAGCGAAACGAGUGUCGAGACAUUCGUGGAUCGUGCGAAGGGAAACGGGCAAACGGCUGGCAUCGCUAUAUACAAAAUGGGACCGUUUAAAGAUAAGACAAUUCUAAUUUUAUCGCUCGAUUCCUUCGCCCAAGUUGGUAGCCGCGGAGUGGAAUGUAAUUUCACCUGGCAGCUGUUACCUAGUGCAGGCAUAUUCGACUGGAUUCUGACGAGCAAGGGCCAGUGCCACCAUUAAUGGACGUUUGAGUGGAAAUAUUCACGUUCAACCCUUUAAGUGCCAAGGGGCGAUAUAUAUUGCUGCUGUCGAAGCUGUAAAUGCUAUAACUCAUUAAAAUUGUCCGUCAUUUCUCGGAUAUCUAUGAAAAUUUCCCAUGGAACUCAAAGGGUUAAUCCCUCUAGAUCCACAGACGUGUGCAUGAAAUCUCCGCACGUCAUCAAAUGUACAUUGGCGGGGUUGCCGUGUCCUUGCUCGUGAGAACUUGGUUGCAUAUGGCUGACCUAGAGAAAUCGAUCGCAUAGAUCGAUUCGACGCUAGGGGGAAGCUUUAUUGUCCUUUCUUAGCGGCGCGUCGAUGCGCCAACCAGGAGGUUAAAUUUAUAAACCAGUAAAGACUUACCUCAGUAAUGUAAUGUACGCAAGAAUCAAACGUCUUUAUGAUCGAGAGUACGUAUAUAUACUGUAGUGCUGAUCGUCCUUUGUAUAUUUUCCGUAUUGUAAAUAAUUAUACAUACGCCUUACCGGUAACUAUUGCUGUACGAUAACCGUCAACGUGCGCAUUAUUUAAUAUUUAUGCGAAUCUUGGAACGAGGGUUGCGCCGAUUCGGACAGCCGCGAGCUCGUGGAAAAGGCGUUGCGCGUUGAGAAAGAGAGAUAUGCUUCUAACGAAAUCCAUUUUGUUGUCUGAAUUUCGUUUUCGAGCAUUCUAUGGUGGUAGGACGUUGAGAUCGAGGGAAGAAAUGGAUUGUACAACUCUCAUUCCUCAGUUUUGUGUAUAUAUUCGAUUAUCGAUUGUGUGUGACAAUUCUUGUGACAUUUAAUUAUUUAUCAGUACCUUGAGUCGGUUAGAAUAGCUCAUAGCUCUGUUUUUAUAUGUGUAAUUUUGUCUUACGUUAAUUUUGUUAGCUGACCUUUUAUCGACCUGUAUUAAUCAUUGUUCAAUCUGUGUUUUUAAUUUGAGAUCCGCUCCUUCGGGAGAGUAUAUAUUUUGGCGCGAGUAAAUUAGGAGAGAAUUGACAAACUUCGCGUCGAGAUGAAAUUGUUUUAUUUUUCUUCGUUUUGGUAGAACGAAAUUGCGAAUCCAACAAAACAUUGACCUGCGUUGCUUUUUCUCGAGCGACGAAUGGACACAGAGGACCGCGUGAGCGAUACGCCGUGAACUAUGACAAAAAGAGGCCUAUGUUAAUCGACGCUCUGUGUAUCGUUUCUUCUACUUCUUUUUCUUUAGCGACGGGCGGACGAGUACGAUAAAUUAGCGACUAAAGAUAGUUAAUGCGUUUAAAUCGCGGGAUACGGCCGACGGCCGUGGGAAACAAAUUUUUUGAAGAACUAUAUACCGAUAGUUAUCGAAGUGUGACUGUGAGGCACGAGUUUCUUCGGCAAAUAUUUAUUACUAUUAUUAUUUAUCGAAAGAAGAAAAAUGUGAAUGUAGUUAUAUUUAACGGAGCGUUUCGUUCGCUUGUUAUGUUUUGAAAGAGAUAUAGAGAAAAUAAGAGAGAAGCGCCGGGCGACUUUUGUUCAUUGUCGCGAAAAUGUACAGUGCGUGUGCGUGUAUGCAGAGAGAGAGAGAGAGAGAGAGAGAGAGAAAAUAUGUGUGAAAGAGUUACUCAGAUAAAAACAUAGAUUGAAAGGGAAAGAACGAGAAGUAAGAUGUUAAAAUCUGACGAAAAUGCAAAUUUCGGGGAACGAAUAUAGUUUAAGGAGGCACCAAAAAAGAAAAACUGAUUAACUCCGUAGGACAAACAAUUUAACCGUGAUCACAAUUUACCGAGUCAACAAAUUUAGGAAACAGCGACGAAUGCACUUCUUGGUGUACAAUAUGAAUAUUAAUGCAGAUAAUAGCUAUACAUAUUACUAUAUCAAUUGUCAGUGGUAUUACAAUAAGAGAUGAUAAUUUUAUAUUUACAAGAUAGAAAAUCGUUAAAUCUAAAUGAGUGUAAUAUACGUCUGUACUAUGAAAAAAGAACACACAUCCACAUAUGCAUACAAAUACUAUCCACUCGCAGACACCUUUUACGCCCACCACCCACACCCCUCCCCCACUCUUCACGAUCCCCAAAAUUCCGUGCUAGGACAAAAACUAGGAAAGCUAGCUUAUUUAAUAUUUGGCAUAAUAUUUAUAUAUGUAUAUAAUAUAUUAUAUUAUAUAAGCCGUAUAAUAUAAUAUUAUUAUGUAUUAUAUAUACGACUAUAAAUAUGAUUAUAAAUAUGAAUAUAAAUGCAAAUAUAAAUAUAUAUAUAUAUAAAUUUAAAUAUAAAUUUAUAUGUAUAUAUAUAUGAAAGAUAGAGCAUAAAGUAAACAAAAAAAAAAUGGGAUAGGCUCGGUGCGGCAAUAUUUGCAUAACCGAGAAAAAGUAUGAAGCUAUGUGAUCCACUACUACUAGUAGCUUUUAGCUGUAAAGACUUAUACUUUAUUUUGUAAAUUUUGUUUAUACAAUGUUUGAUCGUUCACGCAUAAUACUAUUGUAUGUGAAAAUAAGUUAAUAAAUCAUUAACAUGUGAAGUUA